AGUCGGUCGCUUUUGAAGGGAGGAGCUUCCCAAACUCAAGAGUCCUGUUACUGAAAAUCGCAGAUUUAGGAGUGAAAGCGAAGCUGAAGCUCGAUCUACCGUCCCUUCUUUAAAGCAGAUCUUUGCGCGAAGGACGCACACUUUGCCUUAUCGCCCAGGGCCAGACUCUCAGGACUGAAGCAUGGAUGAUGAUUUUGAACGGCGCCGGGAGCUCAGGAGACAGAAGCGUGAGGAGAUGCGCCUAGAGGCCGAAAGGAUGGCCUCUCGUAGAACUGAAGAGGAUGAGGAGGAGGCCGCCCGUGAGCGCAGACGAAGAGCGCGACAGGAGAGACUCCGCGGUAAAGAGAGCGAGGAUGUGCCUUACCAACCGGAGAGCACAGAGCUCAACAACAGCCAUAGCGUGAUGAUGACAGAAACCGUGUCCUCUUCAAUGGUGUCCUCCAGCAGACCUGGUAAUGAAGAUGAUGAGGAAGAGGCCCUGCUGGAUCGUCUGGCUAAGAGAGAGGAACGCAGGCAGAAGAGAAUGAAGGAAGCGCUGGACAGACAGAGGGAGGUGGAGACCAGCCAGAGCUCCCACUACGGCCUAGAGGAGAGCGAUGUCGGCCUGCGACGCGGCCGGAGCUAUGAAGCUGAGGAGGAGGUGAACAGCAAACAGGAGGAGAAACAGGAGGAGGAAGACACUCCUAGUGAGGAAAGAGAGGAAGAGGUUGUGGUGGAAAAGCCAAGGAGGUCUUACCUGAGUGAACAGGGCAAUAGUGAGCCUCCUUCCUCUAAAGAAAAUGAGGUGAUUUUAAAUGAAGGCGCAGAUGAUUCUGCGGUUGUUUUGGAGACGGAGGUGGAAAACAGCGCAGCAGAGCUCACUGGGGAUUUACAGGAGGAAAAGAGAGGGAUUGAGAGAGAGGGGUUGACAGAGAAUGGAUUGAAUAAAAUAAAAGAGGCAGAGAGCUUUGAAAAAGAAGAGACAGAGCUUUCAGAAAAUGAGGUUUUGAUGGAAGAUGAAGAUGUGAUGAGGAAGAACAAACAGCCGAAUGGAGCAGUGUGUGAGGAGAGCACUCCCAAACACAAGAUAGCAGAGAGGAGCUUCAGCCGUGGCAGCCUUCGUUCUCCCGAGGUGCCCGAGGCGGAUGAUGCCGACGGUGAGGAUGCUCGUCUGGAGGCCGAGAGAAAGCUGGAGGAACUGAAAAGGAGACGAGAUGAAAUAGAGAGCGAGGAGUUCGAGAAGAUGAGGCAGAAAUCGCAGGAGGCCGAAGCCGAGCUGGAGGAGCUUAAGAAGAAGAGGGAGGAGAGGAGGAAGGUUCUGGAAGAGGAGGAGCGGAGGAGGAUGCAGGAAGAGGAAGAGAGGAAAGCCAGGGAGGAGGAAGAGAAAAGGAGGAUGAAGGAGGAGAUCGAAAAGCGCAGAGCCGAGGCGGCCGAAAGGAGGCAGAAGGUGGAUGAUUCGGUGGAUGGAGAGGCCAGAAAGCCUUUUAAAUGCGUCAGCCCCAGAGGAUCAUCACUGAAAAUCGGUGAAAGAGCGGAGUUCCUCAACAGAUCCGCACAGAAGAGCUCGGUGAAGUCGUCUCAUUCUCCUGUGGUGUCUAAGAUUGAUAACAGAUUAGAGCAGUACACCACUGCAGUGCAGAGCAACAAGGAGGUCAGAUCUCCUAAAUCCGCUGCUAUAGAUCUUCCUAUGGUGACGGAUGGUAUUCGUAACAUUAAGAGCAUGUGGGAGAAGGGGAAUGCCUUCGGCUCUGGUGGGAGCCCGGCAUCCACCAACAAGGAUGCAGCUGGGAUAAAGGUGGGCGUGGCCGGCCGCAUCAACGAUUGGCUGACUAAAACUCCAGAGACGGGGAAGGCGUCAGGAAGACCAGCGUUAGAUUUCCCUUUGCUUCUCGGUACUCCCAUCUUCUUUCCCUCGGGCUUCCUUCAUCUUCCUUUCUUCUGUUCUUUCUCUUUCCGCUGAAGAUCAGGACCUGAAGCCCGGUGACGUGACCAGCAAACGCAGUCUAUGGGAAAACAAAGGUUCCUCUGCUACCAAGAUCUGACCACGUUGAGGAGACGAGCAGAGGAGAGACAAAAUCCGUCACCAACGGAAUGGGCCAUUAACCCUUCAACGAUGCCAGAGAGGCAGGGACCAAGACAAUGCACAACAUUUCUUUUUAAAACCUAAUACCAAAAAAUACAAGCAUUUUAUACUGCCCAGGAAUGUUUAUGCGAGUAGUUACCGUAUAAAAGAGAAAGAAAAGUAUAUAUUUUAUCACUGUUUUCACAGUCCUACGUCUUGCACCCACUUUAAUGACGUGCCUUUGCACGCGACGUCCUUUGAUAUGAAAUUUAGGCUGUAAAGAUUUGACACUAUUGUUUAGAUGACAAUAUUAUAAAAAGCAGCCAUCUCUGAACAUUCCAAGAUUCCUUGCUUAGAAGAACAAGGAGUAACAACAUUCCAAAAGCAUUUGUUUUGUCAAAACUCAGUUAGUCACACCUUUUCACCUGUUAAUUUAUAACUAAAGCAAAGCUUCACAUUGCAUUUCAUAUUCGCCUGUUUCAGACAGAAUAUGAGCACCCGUAGAGUAGCUGUAUUUUGUACUUUUUUUGUCGUAGCGACACUUUUUUAAAUGCUCUUAAUAAUAUAUGUUAGCACAUAGUGUACGUUUUUGUAAUUAACUAUAUAUUUUACUGCUUGAUACAAGAUUGUGUCUUUGCUUUUGCGCUCAAUAUUAUUUUAUAUCGAAGCGAGUUUUAAUUCAGCAGAAGACCAUUAUAGUCUUACCAUUAUCAAUUAUUAGCUUUUUUUACUCUUGGAUACACUGGUCUAAAGUUUCUUUGUGACCAUCUUUCUUAAAGUGUUAAUAACUAUGUGUCUGUAUUCACAAAGGCAGUUAGCAACUGUUAAUUAGAAAUCUGAACAAAGGGAACGUGCACUUUUUGGCCUAAAUCAUAUAUUUGAUUUUACAUAUUUGCAUAUAAUGCACAGUCAACUAAGACUUUCGGUCACUAAUGCAAACCCUGCUGAAAAGACCCAGCAUGAUUUGACAUGUUGUUUUUGCUUGGUUAGUGCUUGCUGGUGUACCCACUUAUCCUUGGUGAAGCAUAGCUGGUUGACCAGAACAUGACAUAUUUGUGACCAGCAGCUUUGGUCUUUUCAACAGAGAAAGGUCAAAUUUAAGCCCAAUUCACAUUUUGUGAAUUACUUUUUUUUUUGACUGUCUGCUAUCUGUGUUGCAGUCAGUUCAUCUAAAAUUGUAAUGUUGACCACUUAUAUAGCAUUUGUUAUUUGUUGUCCUCAUUUAAACGAUUUACAUAUGUAUCACUUCUGACACUUCCGUCAGAUAAAGAUUAUUCAUUUCUGACGACUCAAGUUGACGUUCAUGUUUCUAAAUGUUCGACGAUUCUGUAUUCUGCUUGUAUUUUUGACAAUCAUUUUCGUAAACACUUAUGUAUUGUUUCUGAAUAACACUAUGCAAGUCGCACCACCUUUAAUUCCAGUAACCUUGUUAAAUCUACGACUUAUUGUAGCCAACAGUUUCAUACGAAACAAAUGUGUGAACCAUAUAUCAUGUCUCAGCAACCACAAUAAAGAGAUCCAUGAAAACAC
This is a non-coding RNA of Paramisgurnus dabryanus, 3571 nucleotides long. The record is from RefSeq and is a predicted model, not a curated record. NCBI's taxonomy places the organism in Eukaryota, Metazoa, Chordata, Actinopteri, Cypriniformes, Cobitidae.